GGAUGUGAAGGUGAUCUGGCUGCGACACCUGUCACCCACUGAUUUGGCUGAUCGGGCUGGCUAGGCGGGUGUCCCUUCCUCCCUCAGUGCUCCAUGUGCACCCUCCUGAAGCUGCGCACUUAAAGAGGAUGACUGCCCCAACAGAGGAGGAUCAUUCCUUUGUCAAAAGUAUAUAAGUAGCUGUGCUCCCCUCCUCUGCUAGAACCUCAAAACAAGCUCACAAGAUCUAUAUGUAGAAAAAAAAAAAAGUACAGUGUAUAUAUACACACAUACACACACAUAUUUUUUGAGACAGGUCUAU
Cavia aperea (Brazilian guinea pig) is the source of this 301-nucleotide unclassified non-coding RNA. Its record names the gene 7SK. It matches the Rfam family "7SK RNA". From Rfam's summary of the family: 7SK was discovered as an abundant small nuclear RNA in the mid-70s but a possible function has only recently been suggested. Two independent studies have found that 7SK RNA binds the CDK9/cyclin T complex (known as elongation factor P-TEFb). P-TEFb activates transcription by phosphorylating the C-terminal domain of RNA polymerase II. The record is from Ensembl. NCBI's taxonomy places the organism in Eukaryota, Metazoa, Chordata, Mammalia, Rodentia, Caviidae.